This 181-nucleotide non-coding RNA is filed under the name Syntrophomonadaceae bacterium. RNAcentral's name for it is "6S RNA". It matches the Rfam family "6S / SsrS RNA". From Rfam's summary of the family: E. coli 6S RNA was the first non coding RNA to be sequenced, but its function was unknown until recently. Lineage: Bacteria; Bacillati; Bacillota; Clostridia; Eubacteriales; Syntrophomonadaceae. The record is from RNAcentral.
UUAAUUCUGGGAUAUGCGUUAAGCUUUUAUUUUGAACCUACAAAAUUAUUAUGGGAAUCUAUAUUAAGAAGAAAGAUAUCAAGCCUAACUAAUAGUAUAGGAAGAUAGACAGCUUUUUUGAAGAUACCCACCUAUCGAUGGAUAGGCGUCAAAAUAGAGCUGACGGUAUUUUGGGUUAUAU